UGUUCCGCCCCGCAGCGGGCGGCUAAGAGGGAAGCGGAUGCAAUUUCCGCGCGGUCCCGCCGCUGUGAAUCGCCAGCGAAGCUCCAUGGCGCAAAUGCCGGUCACUGAGUCAUCGGGAAGACGGAGCCAGCUAUGACGCGUAAGCCAGAAGACCUGCAUGGAA
RNAcentral lists this non-coding RNA (163 nucleotides) under pig gut metagenome. The record is from RNAcentral.